Molecule: ribosomal RNA, 253 nt
Filed under: uncultured bacterium
Lineage: Bacteria
Description: partial 16S ribosomal RNA
Rfam family: Bacterial small subunit ribosomal RNA
Source: RNAcentral
UACGUAGGGGGCAAGCGUUGUCCGGAAUUAUUGGGCGUAAAGAGCGCGUAGGCGGUCCGGUAAGUCGGUUGUGAAAGUCGGGGGCUCAACCCUCGGAUGCCGAUCGAUACUGUCGGGCUAGAGUCCGGAAGAGGCGAGUGGAAUUCCUGGUGUAGCGGUGAAAUGCGCAGAUAUCAGGAGGAACACCAAUGGCGAAGGCAGCUCUCUGGGACGGUACUGACGCUGAGACGCGAAAGCGUGGGGAGCGAACAGG